Molecule: ribosomal RNA, 368 nt
Filed under: Frankiales bacterium
Lineage: Bacteria; Bacillati; Actinomycetota; Actinomycetes; Frankiales
Description: partial 23S ribosomal RNA
Rfam family: Bacterial large subunit ribosomal RNA
Source: RNAcentral
GGGUUGGGCUGUUCGCCCAUUAAAGCGGCACGCGAGCUGGGUUUAGAACGUCGUGAGACAGUUCGGUCCCUAUCCGCCGCGCGCGUAAGAGUUUUGAGAAGGGCUGUCCCUAGUACGAGAGGACCGGGACGGACGAACCUCUGGUGUGCCAGUUGUCCUGCCAAGGGCACGGCUGGUUGGCUACGUUCGGAAGGGAUAACCGCUGAAAGCAUCUAAGCGGGAAGCUCGCUUCAAGAUGAGAACUCUCACCGGAUAACCGGGUAAGGCCCCCAGCGAGACCACUGGGUUGAUAGGCCGGAGGUGGAAGUGCAGCAAUGCAUGGAGCUGACCGGUACUAAUAGGCCGAGGGCUUGACUACACCUUCUUCU